This 3713-nucleotide long non-coding RNA is filed under the name Canis lupus familiaris (dog). RNAcentral describes it as "lncRNA (ENSCAFG00000057027.1)". Lineage: Eukaryota; Metazoa; Chordata; Mammalia; Carnivora; Canidae. The record is from RNAcentral.
AUAGCCAAAUUACUGAAGCAGCCCAAAUGUCCACCAAUAGAUGAAUGGAUAAAGAAGAUGUGAGAUAUAUAUAUAUAUAUAUAUAUCUUUCCCUUUCCUUCAACUUGAGAAUAUACAUACAUACAUAUGUGUGUAUACAGACAUGCAAUGGAAUAUUAUUCAGCCAUAAAAAAGAGUGAAAUCUUGCCCUUUGCAAUGACAUGGAGUUAGAGAGUAUAAUGCUAAGUGAAAUAAGCCAGUCAGGAUAACAAAUGCCAUAUGAUUUCACAUGUGGAGUUUAAGAAACAAAACAAAGAAAAAGGAAACAACCAAGAAACAGUCUCUUAACUAUAGAGAACAAACUGAUGGUUGCCAGAGGGCAGGUAGGUGGGAGGAUGGGUGAAAUAAAUGAAGCCGAUUAAGAGUACACUCAGCAUGAUGAGCAUUGAAUAAUGCAGAAUUACUAUAUUGUGCACCUGAAACUAAUAUAACACUAUGUUAACUAUACCAGAGUUACAACUUUUUAAAAAUUCAAUAAAAAUAAAGUGUCUUUGCACAGCAUCCCAGGACACCUGUGAAAUCCAGACACACACCUGAAAGUGGGUGGAUUGGACUGUGGAGGAGGUUGCAGAGAAACAGAAGUGUUGGCUGUAGAGGCGGUGAUGGCAGAGACAGCUGGGUCUGCCAGGGAGCCAGCAUGAACCUGAUGGCUGAGGAAGUGGGGGGGUGAAUAUGAUAGGUGGGGGUCUGUCUGGCCACAAGUGCUGCAGCUGGAGGCACCAGUUGUUGUCUGUGGUGACUGGGAGCAGAGCAACGAAAGAGUAGUAGGCAGACAGCUGCUGUGUCUGCUCCAGGAGGCAAGAUGACCAGCCACGGACCUCUUGGAGCCCCUGCCCUCCAACUUGAGAAUUCCCCUCUUGGGUUGUGGGCACAACCAAAGCCUCAAGUACUAAGUACACACCUAUGCCCAAUGCACCACAGUUCUUUGCCUUUUUAAUUUUUUUUUUUUCUUAAAUGCUGCACUCCCAACCUUAAUUGUGAGUCAGCUCUGGUGAAAGAAAUUUAAAAAUUUUGCACUAUAGCAUCACUUUCUGGAAAACAAAAGGAAGGCUCCUAACUACUAAACUCCAAUUAAACUCCAGUUAAAGUAAAAGCAGCCAUACCUUAUUAGGUAUUUGCUACUUGAAAUGCAGCAGCAGAAGUGCUUUCCAUAAAAUACCAUGAAAAAAGUACAAAGUGGCUGAAUAUAUUUAAAAAAAAAAGAUAAGAUACAACUGUAUGCUGCCUAACAGGAGACUCAUUUCGGCUUUAAAGACGCACAUAGGCUCAAAAUGAAAGGAUGAAAGAUGAUAUUCCAAGCAAACAAAAACAAAAAGAAGGCAAGCAUAGCUAUACUUAGACAAAAUAUAUUUUUUCUUAAAGAUUUUAUUUAUUCAUCUGGUAGAGAGAACACAAGUGGGAGAGUGGCAGAGGGGGAGGGAGAAACAGACUCUCCAUUGACCAGGGAGCCCAACGUGGGGCUCAGUCCCAGGACCCUGGGAUCAUGACUUGAGCCAAAGGCAGACACUUAGCUGACUGAGCCACCCAGGUGCCCCAACAAAAUAUAUUUCAAGGCAUAAUGGGUAAUAAGACAAAGGUCUCUUGCUUAUAUAAUGAUAAAGGGGUCAAUACAGAAAGAAUAUAUAAUUCAUAUAAAUAUAUAUGCAUAUAUAUGCUCCAAGCAUGAAAAUAUAUUAAGCAAUUAACAACAGAUCUUAAGGGAGAGACAAUAAAAUAAGUGUAGAGGACUUAAACUGCCUCAGUAUCAGCAAUAAGAUAGGUCAUUCAGACAGAAAAUCAACAAGGCAACAUUGGAAUUGAACCACACUUUAGAACAAAUGGACUUAAUAGACACAUACAGAACAUUCCAUCCAACAGCAGUAGAAUACACAUUAUUUUCAAACAUAUCCAGAAUAUUCUACAGGAUAGAUCAUAUACAUAGGCCACUAAACAAAUCUUAGAUAAUUUAAGAUCAAAAUCAUACCAAAUAUCUUUUCUGACCGCAGUGGUAUGCAACUAGAAAUCAACAAGAGGAAACUGAGAAGACAUACAAAUAUGUGGAAACUAAACAACAGUCUCCUACACAACCAUUGGAUCAAAGAAGAAUCAAAAAGCAAAUUAAAAAUUACCUUGAAACAAAAAGAAAAUAAAAAGUUUCAAGUAUUGUGGGAUGCAGCAAAAGCAGUUCUGAGAGAAAAGUUUAUGGCAACAAAUGUAUAUAUUAAGAAAUUGGAGGGGUGCCUAGCUGGCUCAGAAGAGCAUGCAACUCUUAAGAGUUGUGAGAUCAAGCAUGGAGCCUACUUAAAAAUAUAUAUAUAUAGAUAUAGAUAUAAUUAGAAAGAUUAGAAAGACCUGAAAUAAAUGACCUAACUUUAUACCUCAAUGAACUAGAGAAAAGAAAAAUUAAAACCAAAGUUAGGAGAAGGAAGGAAAUAAUAAAGAUCAGAAAAACAAUAGAAGGAUCAACAAAUCUAAGAGCUUGUUCUUCCAAAAGAUAAACAAAACUGACAAACCUUUAGCUAUUGACUCAAAUAAAAUUAAAAAUGAAACAGGAGACAUUACGACUGAUACUACAGAAAUAGUAGAGUCAUUAGAGACUCUUGUGAAUAAUGAUAUGCCAAUGAAUUAUAUAACCUAGAAGAAAUGGAUACAUUUCUAGAAACAACUUAUCAAGACAGAAUCGGGAAGAAAUAGAGAUUUAAUCAGUAAGCAAAAGCCUUUCAGCAUAGAAAACUUGAGGACCAGAUGGCUUCACUUGAGACUUCUACCAAACAUUUAAAGAAUUAACACCAAUCCUCUUCAGACUCUUUCAAAAUAUUAGGGAGGAGGAGGGAACACUUCCAAGCUUGUUGUACAAGCCUGCGUUACAUUGAUACCAAAAGCAGAUAAGGAUACCAUAAAAAAAAGAAACUACAGAUCAAUAUCCUUGACGCAUAUAGAUGCAAAAACUCAACAAUAUUAGCAAACUGAAGUCAAGAACACGUUAAAAGGAUUAUACACCAUGACCAAAUGGAAUUUAUCCCUGGGAUGCAAGGAUGGUUCAACACACAGAAAUCAAUAAAAGUAACACAUCACAGCAAUAAAAUGAAAGAUUGAAACCACAUGAUCAUCUCAGUAGGUACACAAAAAGCAUUUGACAAAAUAACAAUAUCGCUUUGAUGAAAACCCUUAACAGUCUGGGCAUGGAAGGAACAUACCUCAAUAUAAAAAAGACCACCUAUUGCAGAUCCACAGCUGACAUACUUAAUGGAGAAAAAAAAUGAAAGCAUUUCCCCUAAGGUCAGGAACAAUGCAAGGAUGUCCACUUUCACCACUUCUAUUCAAUAUAGUACUAGAAGUCUAGUUAGAGCAAGUAUGUAAGACCAAGAAAAGGCAUCCAAAUCAAAGAGGAAUAAGUAAAAUUGUUAUUAUUGUGCUGAUAUUAUCCUUCUUGUAGAAAAAUCCCAGAGAAUCAGUCAAAAAUCUGUUGGAAGUAAGCUACAAUAUCAGUAAAGUGGCAGUAUAUAGAAUCAACAUACAGGGAUCAAUUUCAGUCCUUUACAUAAUGAUGUAGGAUCUGUAAGUGAAAUAAAGAGAAACAGCCCAUUCAUAGUAGCACCACAAUCCAUGAAAUACUUGGGAAUAAUUUCAACCAAGGAAGUGAAAGAUCUAUAUAAUAAUAACCUUUCUGGGAGAAACCGAAGAAGAUACAGAUG